GACUAUGCCAGUGAUUAAAGACAGUUGCGGACUUUAAUGGUAUUUUGUGUUGAAGUUCUAGGUGCAAUUGCAGCAGGUUCUCCAGGAAACUGAAGCUAAAGUUCUUAUUCCACGUGUCAAACUUCCACACGCUAAGACUUUCCUGGAAAUGUUUAACGAGGAAGAAGAGAGCAUAUACUGAAGCUAUUUUAGUUUACAGUUGGAUCCAGUUGUCACCAAAGCCUGGCAGAGCUGGACGUGAUGCUCCCCGAUGAUGUUGCGUUUACACUUUGAUUGUUCAAGUGGCUCCCGAUGCUGCCGUAACGAUUUCUGCAGGCUACAGGACACCAAGCUAAGAAGCUGUCAUCUACAUUUGAAUUCAGCCUUCCAGGAAUCCGUGGCACGUAGGUCCAGCAUCCCAACUCAGGUUGAAUCAGCUGAAUGCAAAAGUCACUGCUGCCGAGACAUCACGCACAAACUUAUCCCCCGCUGGAACCUUCUGUCAGCUUUUCACAUCAGGGAAUUUCACAUUCAUGGAAGAGAGUAGGGGCAGAUCCUGGCAUGACAUCUAGACCUAUCCCCUGCUUAAGAGCUUAAACUUUCGUGACUUCAACUUCUGCACAUUUGAUUCUGCAGGACAUUUGACAUCAUAGAGGUUAUGGCUGAUGUCCUGCAGAGCUAACGUGGCUAAGAGGCACCAGGUUCUGUAGUAAGAGCAGCACAAGGAGGUGUUGCAUCCUUGAGUCCCCAGAGAGAACAAUGGGGUAGCCAGGUGUCCCAGACUGCUGAGCCAACAAGCUUAGGGCAACAAGCUCUAGAGGUGACAUGAGAAGGGGAACAAAGGAGGAGAUGGGGCAGUGCUUUCGUAAGUCAAGGUCCCAAAGCAAAUACCAGAGAAAAUCCCAGGAGAUCUGCAGGUCUAUCUUCAGAACAGUGCCCGGCGAGGAAGGCACGCAGCUUUGCCCGUCCCGGUGGGGAGAAAGCAGGAGGAUGAUCUGCUGGCACUUACCUGAGCACCAUCCCUGCUGCCCUCUGUGUUCAACACCUGCUCCAAGAAAGAGGUCUCAGGAGCUCAGGGACCACUGCUGCGAAUUGGCAGCUAUCGAAAGCUGCAGGUUACACGUUGAGAAGUAGAAGAAUCUUUAUUUUUACUGCAUGCUCCUGGAUCCCCAAGUCAUGCAAUGUUUCUGCUUGCACAUUGCUGAGGAUCAAACCGGCUCACCAGGCUGCUGCAAGCUUUAUUUGCAGCCACGCACACGUGCACCUUCUGUAGAGAGUAGAUUUGCCAUUUAUCAUCAAACUUUUCCAUGGAUCAAAGCUUGCUUUAUUUGGUGUAAUUUUUCUUCCAACCAACAUUUUAAUCAGUCAAGUUUUCAAAAACCAUGUCUGUUAGGAAGGCUCACUAGUGCUGUGUAGAAGGGUAGAAAGAAGAGAGAGAGAAGAAAAAAGCAAUGAACAACAAGAUCUCCCCAAUGCGCUUCGAAACGCUCCCAGACUUUCCAGUUUGUUCCGCAGUUUUGUUUACUUUGCCAUUGUAAGGAGAAUAAGCAAAACUUCUUUGUCAUCAUUCUUCCUUCCCUGAGACAGAAUAUUAUCAAUACUUACUGCAGCCAAGGAAAUAAUUAAAAAUGAAUAAUUUAUGCAAUUAAUGCAGUCUUUUCUCCCAUUUAUACAAUAACUGCCAGAGGAUCAAACAUUUCUUUUCAAUUUAUUCCUUAGUUAAGUUUAUUUGAUACAUCUUAAUGAUCCUACUGCUCUGUAGAUUGAAUGUUAAUUUUAAGUAAUUAUU
Long non-coding RNA from Grus americana (Whooping crane), 1768 nucleotides. RefSeq lists it as uncharacterized. NCBI's taxonomy places the organism in Eukaryota, Metazoa, Chordata, Aves, Gruiformes, Gruidae. The record is from RefSeq and is a predicted model, not a curated record. The transcript has 5 exons.